UACGUAGGUGGCAAGCGUUGUCCGGAUUUACUGGGUGUAAAGGGCGCGUAGGCGGGAUAGCAAGUCAGAUGUGAAAUCUAUGGGCUUAACCCAUAAACUGCAUUUGAAACUGUUGUUCUUGAGUGAUGGAGAGGCAGGCGGAAUUCCUAGUGUAGCGGUGAAAUGCGUAGAUAUCGGAAGGAACACCAGUGGCGAAAGCGGCUUCCUGGUCCGACACCGACGUUCAGGCACGAAAGCGUGGGGAGCAAACAGG
Molecule: ribosomal RNA, 253 nt
Filed under: uncultured bacterium
Lineage: Bacteria
Description: partial 16S ribosomal RNA
Rfam family: Bacterial small subunit ribosomal RNA
Source: RNAcentral